GACGAACGUUGGCGGCGUGCUUAAUACAUGCAAGUCAACUGAAGCAGUGGUAGCAAUAUCGCUGUGGAGGUGGCGCACGGGUGAGUAACACGUAGGUAAUCUGCCUUCAGGUCUGGCAUAACUCCGGGAAACCGGGGCUAAUAGCAGAUGAUGCAGCGGCUCGACAUCGAGACAGUUGUUAAAGCUAUGGCGCCUGAAGAUGAGCCUGCGUCUGAUUAGCUAGUUGGCGGGGUAACGGCCCACCAAGGCAACGAUCAGUAGCUGGUCUGAGAGGAUGAUCAGCCACACUGGAACUGAGACACGGUCCAGACUCCUACGGGAGGCAGCAGUAAGGAAUAUUGCUCAAUGGGAGAAAUCCUGAAGCAGCAACGCAGCGUGAGGGACGAAGGGCUUUUGCCUGUAAACCUCUGUAGUGAGAGAAAAAAAUCCCAAUCUUUGGGACAUGAUGGUAUCUCAAAAGUAAGCCCCGGCUAACUACGUG
RNAcentral lists this ribosomal RNA (481 nucleotides) under uncultured bacterium. Its description in RNAcentral is "partial 16S ribosomal RNA". It matches the Rfam family "Bacterial small subunit ribosomal RNA", at positions 28 to 507 of the family's 1533-position model. The record is from RNAcentral.